This 2258-nucleotide unclassified non-coding RNA is filed under the name Nilaparvata lugens (brown planthopper). RNAcentral's name for it is "uncharacterized LOC111048504, transcript variant X2". The record is from RNAcentral. Lineage: Eukaryota; Metazoa; Arthropoda; Insecta; Hemiptera; Delphacidae.
UCGACAGUCACAUGGAAAUUGUUGACAGACGAAGUUUUGUUUAUAAAAGGAAUGAGGAAGGUUAUUUGUAAUUUGCAAGUGUUGUAAGUUGUGACGUGCAUUUAUUUAUCUUAGUGCCUGUUAUAAAAUUUUGAUCUUAAUAGAAUUAUAAUCAAGGUUUAUUCUCUUUGAAAGUUUUUUCUCAUUCAGCUGAAUUUUUAUGAAUCCUAUUUGACUAGAUAGUUUUCAUAGAAUAAGAUGGCAGACUUGAAUGCUGUUCCCAUCAUUCCUCUAAAGCUUGUCUUUGCCGUACACUUUGUACUUAUAUCAUGGGGCAUACAAGGUGUUUGGAGUCCAGAUAGUUACCUAUUUUAUAAUUUAUUCUUUCUUUUCGCUUUGAUAUGGAGUAUUUAUGAAAAGGAAAAAGAAGAACCUUUACAAAUAGCGAUUCUUAUAAAUUUCUGUGCAAUACUGAUGGAUAUUAUUGUGAUUCUAUUCUACUUUCCUUACCACGGGUACGUGGGAACAGUGUUCAGUUACGCCCUGGCCAUCUUGAACCUGGUUUUCAGGCCGGUAUCCACCGUUGUAAUGGGUAAGAACUGUGCCAACAGGAUGGGGCUAUCAGGCGGAUUCUACCCGGCUACAUUUGGAACGAUAUUUGGUUUCGACCUGACGCAACGACAAGACGGCAUGUCUCCGACUGCGGUGGGCGGAGGGCAGACGGUGCCUCGCAUCUAAUCCAUCAACAUCUUCACAGUUUCAUCCUUGGUCUCCACUCACUACGGUCACCUUCUUCACUUUACUCAUUCACAUUUCACUUUACGCCACUAGACCUGAAUCCAGCCGAAGUGCAGAGAAAUACAUACGAAGAUAUAGACAGUUCUUCUGUUGGAGUUCUGACGUAGUAAAGUGAAUCGGAAUUUCUUGGACAUCCAAAGUGUGAUUCAUGAACCAUAACCAAUAAUAAUUGGUGUAAGAAUAUAAGCAUAAUCUGUGUUCCAACUAGUCAGUACUUAUAAUCCAUAAUUAUGUGUAAACUAUUGAACAUGCAUCAUAAUAAUUAUGUUGGAAUUUGGAAUUGGUUGCAAGAUUAUUAAUAUCUGAUGCUUAAUUAUUUUGUUUGUGGAGUUCACUGAAAGAGCAUCAACUCAUUAGUGUAUUUCAGAUAAAUAACUAAAUGGGAAGUGGGUUACUUGUUGUCACAGAGUUGAAUUUAUAACGGCGAAUUACCGCUACUACUUUUGAUAUUGCAGCAAUGACUAUUUGUUUCAAGCAAAUCAUGGUAUUGAUAUCGGAUGUAUAGAAUCAGUUCAUGGAAAAUAUUAGGAGUGUCUUUUCAGUGACAUCGAGUAAUUCUCAUUAAACAUACCAUAUAAAUCACAAUCAACACUAUUAAUAGAAUAACUUUUAAUUUUUAGAAAAUUUAUGUAAUUCUAGUACUUACAUCACCAGUAACGAUAUUAUCGUCAACGUAUUUCCAUUUUAAUGUUUUAAUUAUUGUAAUUUGUUUAUUUACACUAGUUAGUUGAAAAACGAUUUUAACAAUUACUUUAUGUGAUAGAUGUUUUCUAUUUGAAAUAAAAAAUAUUGUGUCAAUUAAUAUUACAGGUUUUUUAAAUUAUUGUCUAGAGAUUAAUGUAAUUAGCAUUGGGUAAUUCAUAAAGUUAUUUUUUGAAACAAUAUACAACAUUAGUAAAAUUUAUGUAAGAAUUUAUAUUUAUUAACCGUUUACAAAACCACUGUAAGAGAUAUUCGUCAAAUGAAAGUAUACUUAUUUGGAUCAACACGCAUUUUUGAAGCUUAUCCUCCCAGUUUAACGAUUUCCUAACUAACAUCGGUUAUUGAUUUGUUUAAAAAAAUAGUACCUAUUGUUAAGACAUAACCAAUUGUUUUCAAAAUUUUCUGAAUCAUUGAUGAUUAUUUUUUAGAGGAUUACUGCAAAGGAUUGUUUUGAUUAUAAAUAUAAUUGUAUCCUCUAAUCAAAGUUGAUGGAGCCUAUCGUCUAAGGCUUCUACGACAUAGAUCUAAGAGUGUGAAUUGUCUAUCAUUGUCUAUGAAUAUUUUCUUUAAUGAAUGUUAUAAUAAACUGUGCCGCAUGCCUGGUUAUUGCAUGAUAAAGAAAUAAUGAAAGAACCAAAAAGCAUAUUGUGCCUCAAUCUUAUUUUGCAUGUGAUUGCAAAAUUUUCCCAUUGCAAAUUGAACUGUUUAAAGUUAAGGUUUUUAAUUAAUAAGAAAUUAAUUUUGAAGGAAAUAAUAUAUAAUAUAUUCAUCAAAUUGUA